Molecule: long non-coding RNA, 380 nt
Organism: Pygocentrus nattereri (red-bellied piranha)
Lineage: Eukaryota; Metazoa; Chordata; Actinopteri; Characiformes; Serrasalmidae
Exons: 3
Source: RefSeq, a predicted model, not a curated record
UUCAAGUGUGAGGUCAUUAGCAACAGUGCUGCAGAACUUGGCCUUCAAGUCCUCAAUUGCAUUGCUGCCAUCGUACACCGCAACAAAGUUCUUCUUACACUCGUUGGAAUUCUCUAACUGGUAUUCCAGGAAACGAAGGAAGAUCUGUGAUGAGGAAGAGAAAAGAAAAAUCUCAACGCGAAUGUCAUUUCAGUCACUGUUUAGUCAUGCGGUACACCUAUCUGGAAGCAUCUAUAUUCCCUACAUACCAAGGAAAUGUGUAAUCCACUCGAAAGCCCAAUCCCUCUAGCUCCUCAUCACUGGUGAAUUUGAUCCACAUGAAGCGCCCUGUGGAGGUGACCACUCCUGGGCUCUGAGAUCCGCAGAAACGGUUUAUCAGU